This 208-nucleotide ribosomal RNA is filed under the name uncultured bacterium. Its description in RNAcentral is "partial 16S ribosomal RNA". It matches the Rfam family "Bacterial small subunit ribosomal RNA", at positions 568 to 774 of the family's 1533-position model. The record is from RNAcentral.
UGCGUAGGCGGUUAGUUAAGUCUGUUGUGAAAUCCCCGGGCUCAAUCUGGGAAUGGCAAUGGAUACUGGCAAGCUAGAGUGUGUCAGAGGAUGGUGGAAUUUCCGGUGUAGCGGUGAAAUGCGUAGAGAUCGGAAGGAACAUCAGUGGCGAAGGCGGCCAUCUGGGACAACACUGACGCUGAAGCACGAAAGCGUGGGGGAGCAAACA